UAAAAAAGACAGUUAAAGACUUCAGACUACGAUGGAAAACAGUUGUAGCAUUUGUUCAGAUGAAAUCCCUCGUGCAAGAAUUUUUAUGCAACGUGACCGUUAAAAAAGACAGUUAAAGACUUCAGACUACGAUGGAAAACAGUUCGAGCAUUUGUUCAGAUGAAAUCCCUCGAGGAAGAAUUUUUAUGCAACAUGACCGUUAAAAGAGACAGUUAAAGACUUCACACUACGAUGGAAAAUAGUUCGAGCAUUUUCGCACAUUAUGGCGGAUAUACAUGGGCGAAUUUUCGCUAACCACCCAGCAUUUGUAAACUUGAACUCAAUAUUGAGAAUUAGACAAAA
Molecule: long non-coding RNA, 342 nt
Organism: Frieseomelitta varia
Lineage: Eukaryota; Metazoa; Arthropoda; Insecta; Hymenoptera; Apidae
Exons: 4
Source: RefSeq, a predicted model, not a curated record